This 71-nucleotide transfer RNA is filed under the name Nelumbo nucifera (sacred lotus). It matches the Rfam family "tRNA". Rfam says of the family: Transfer RNA (tRNA) molecules are approximately 80 nucleotides in length. Their secondary structure includes four short double-helical elements and three loops (D, anti-codon, and T loops). Further hydrogen bonds mediate the characteristic L-shaped molecular structure. tRNAs have two regions of fundamental functional importance: the anti-codon, which is responsible for specific mRNA codon recognition, and the 3' end, to which the tRNAs corresponding amino acid is attached (by aminoacyl-tRNA synthetases). tRNAs cope with the degeneracy of the genetic code in two manners: having more than one tRNA (with a specific anti-codon) for a particular amino acid; and 'wobble' base-pairing, i.e. permitting non-standard base-pairing at the 3rd anti-codon position. Lineage: Eukaryota; Viridiplantae; Streptophyta; Magnoliopsida; Proteales; Nelumbonaceae. The record is from Rfam by way of RNAcentral.
GCGUUUGUAGUCCAACGGUGAGGAUAAUUGCAUCCAAGCAAUAGACCCGGGUUCGACUCCCGGAAAACGCA